GGGCCGCUAGCUCAUCUGGGAGAGCGCAGCAUUCGCAUUGCUGAGGUACGGGGUUCGAGUCCCCGGCGGUCCA
RNAcentral lists this transfer RNA (73 nucleotides) under Chloroflexota bacterium. RNAcentral describes it as "Chloroflexi bacterium tRNA-Ala". It matches the Rfam family "tRNA". From Rfam's summary of the family: Transfer RNA (tRNA) molecules are approximately 80 nucleotides in length. RNAcentral also lists the same sequence under 1 other name. The record is from RNAcentral. Lineage: Bacteria; Bacillati; Chloroflexota.